ACUCCUACGGGAGGCAGCAGUNAGGAAUAUUGGACAAUGGAGGCAACUCUGAUCCACGCCAUGCCGCGUGAAGGAUGACUGCCCUAUGGGUUGUAAACUUCUUUUAUAUAGGAAGAAACCGUGGUAUGUAUNCCACCNUGACGGUACUAUAGANAAGGACCGGCUAACUCC
This 171-nucleotide ribosomal RNA is filed under the name uncultured Bacteroidota bacterium. RNAcentral describes it as "uncultured Bacteroidetes bacterium partial 16S ribosomal RNA". It matches the Rfam family "Bacterial small subunit ribosomal RNA", at positions 335 to 504 of the family's 1533-position model. The record is from RNAcentral. Lineage: Bacteria; Pseudomonadati; Bacteroidota.